Molecule: long non-coding RNA, 316 nt
Filed under: Lupinus mutabilis
Lineage: Eukaryota; Viridiplantae; Streptophyta; Magnoliopsida; Fabales; Fabaceae
Description: partial ncRNA
Source: RNAcentral
AACCGAAACCGAAACCGAAACCGAAACCGAAACUGAAACCGAAACCCAAACCCAAACACAAACCGAAACCCAAACCCAAACCGAAACCGAAACCGAAACUCAAACCGGAACCGAAACCGAAACCGAAACCGAAACCGAAACCGAAAUCGAAACCGAAACCGAAACCGAAACCGAAACCGAAACCGAAACCGAAACCGAAACCGAAACCUAAACCCAAACCCAAACCCGAACCGAAACCGAAACCCAAACCCAAACCGAAACCGAAACCCAAACCCAAACCGAAACCGAAACCCAAACCCAAACCGAAACCGAAACC